Molecule: transfer RNA, 28 nt
Filed under: Gerrhonotus parvus
Lineage: Eukaryota; Metazoa; Chordata; Lepidosauria; Squamata; Anguidae
Description: partial tRNA-Met
Source: RNAcentral
AUGUUGGUUUAAACCCCUCCUUUAUCAA